GUGCUCACUUUGGCAGCAUAUAUAAUGGAACAAUGAUACAGAGAAGAUUAGCAGAGCUCCUAUGCAAGAAUGACAGGCAAUUUUGUGAAGCAUUCCAUAUUUUA
Small nuclear RNA from Gracilinanus agilis (Agile Gracile Mouse Opossum), 104 nucleotides. The record is from RefSeq and is a predicted model, not a curated record. NCBI's taxonomy places the organism in Eukaryota, Metazoa, Chordata, Mammalia, Didelphimorphia, Didelphidae.